RNAcentral lists this ribosomal RNA (1408 nucleotides) under Enterococcus durans. RNAcentral describes it as "bacterial SSU rRNA". It matches the Rfam family "Bacterial small subunit ribosomal RNA". Lineage: Bacteria; Bacillati; Bacillota; Bacilli; Lactobacillales; Enterococcaceae. The record is from RNAcentral.
CAGUCGUACGCUUCUUUUUCCCCGGAGCUUGCUCCACCGGAAAAAGAAGAGUGGCGAACGGGUGAGUAACACGUGGGUAACCUGCCCAUCAGAAGGGGAUAACACUUGGAAACAGGUGCUAAUACCGUAUAACAAUCGAAACCGCAUGGUUUUGAUUUGAAAGGCGCUUUCGGGUGUCGCUGAUGGAUGGACCCGCGGUGCAUUAGCUAGUUGGUGAGGUAACGGCUCACCAAGGCCACGAUGCAUAGCCGACCUGAGAGGGUGAUCGGCCACAUUGGGACUGAGACACGGCCCAAACUCCUACGGGAGGCAGCAGUAGGGAAUCUUCGGCAAUGGACGAAAGUCUGACCGAGCAACGCCGCGUGAGUGAAGAAGGUUUUCGGAUCGUAAAACUCUGUUGUUAGAGAAGAACAAGGAUGAGAGUAACUGUUCAUCCCUUGACGGUAUCUAACCAGAAAGCCACGGCUAACUACGUGCCAGCAGCCGCGGUAAUACGUAGGUGGCAAGCGUUGUCCGGAUUUAUUGGGCGUAAAGCGAGCGCAGGCGGUUUCUUAAGUCUGAUGUGAAAGCCCCCGGCUCAACCGGGGAGGGUCAUUGGAAACUGGGAGACUUGAGUGCAGAAGAGGAGAGUGGAAUUCCAUGUGUAGCGGUGAAAUGCGUAGAUAUAUGGAGGAACACCAGUGGCGAAGGCGGCUCUCUGGUCUGUAACUGACGCUGAGGCUCGAAAGCGUGGGGAGCAAACAGGAUUAGAUACCCUGGUAGUCCACGCCGUAAACGAUGAGUGCUAAGUGUUGGAGGGUUUCCGCCCUUCAGUGCUGCAGCUAACGCAUUAAGCACUCCGCCUGGGGAGUACGACCGCAAGGUUGAAACUCAAAGGAAUUGACGGGGGCCCGCACAAGCGGUGGAGCAUGUGGUUUAAUUCGAAGCAACGCGAAGAACCUUACCAGGUCUUGACAUCCUUUGACCACUCUAGAGAUAGAGCUUCCCCUUCGGGGGCAAAGUGACAGGUGGUGCAUGGUUGUCGUCAGCUCGUGUCGUGAGAUGUUGGGUUAAGUCCCGCAACGAGCGCAACCCUUAUUGUUAGUUGCCAUCAUUCAGUUGGGCACUCUAGCAAGACUGCCGGUGACAAACCGGAGGAAGGUGGGGAUGACGUCAAAUCAUCAUGCCCCUUAUGACCUGGGCUACACACGUGCUACAAUGGGAAGUACAACGAGUCGCGAAGUCGCGAGGCUAAGCUAAUCUCUUAAAGCUUCUCUCAGUUCGGAUUGUAGGCUGCAACUCGCCUACAUGAAGCCGGAAUCGCUAGUAAUCGCGGAUCAGCACGCCGCGGUGAAUACGUUCCCGGGCCUUGUACACACCGCCCGUCACACCACGAGAGUUUGUAACACCCGAAGUCGGUGAGGUAACC